GCGGACAGAAGGGAGCUUGCUCCCGGAUGUUAGCGGCGGACGGGUGAGUAACACGUGGGUAACCUGCCUGUAAGACUGGGAUAACUCCGGGAAACCGGAGCUAAUACCGGAUAGUUCCUUGAACCGCAUGGUUCAAGGAUGAAAGACGGUUUCGGCUGUCACUUACAGAUGGACCCGCGGCGCAUUAGCUAGUUGGUGGGGUAAUGGCUCACCAAGGCGACGAUGCGUAGCCGACCUGAGAGGGUGAUCGGCCACACUGGGACUGAGACACGGCCCAGACUCCUACGGGAGGCAGCAGUAGGGAAUCUUCCGCAAUGGACGAAAGUCUGACGGAGCAACGCCGCGUGAGUGAUGAAGGUUUUCGGAUCGUAAAGCUCUGUUGUUAGGGAAGAACAAGUGCGAGAGUAACUGCUCGCACCUUGACGGUACCUAACCAGAAAGCCACGGCUAACUACGUGCCAGCAGCCGCGGUAAUACGUAGGUGGCAAGCGUUGUCCGGAAUUAUUGGGCGUAAAGGGCUCGCAGGCGGUUUCUUAAGUCUGAUGUGAAAGCCCCCGGCUCAACCGGGGAGGGUCAUUGGAAACUGGGAAACUUGAGUGCAAAAGAGGAGAGUGGAAUUCCACGUGUAGCGGUGAAAUGCGUAGAGAUGUGGAGGAACACCAGUGGCGAAGGCGACUCUCUGGUCUGUAACUGACGCUGAGGACGAAAGCGUGGGAGCGAACAGGAUUAGAUACCCUGGUAGUCCACGCCGUAAACGAUGAGUGCUAAGUGUUAGGGGGUUUCCGCCCCUUAGUGCUGCAGCUAACGCAUUAAGCACUCCGCCUGGGGAGUACGGUCGCAAGACUGAAACUCAAAGGAAUUGACGGGGGCCCGCACAAGCGGUGGAGCAUGUGGUUUAAUUCGAAGCAACGCGAAGAACCUUACCAGGUCUUGACAUCCUCUGACAACCCUAGAGAUAGGGCUUUCCCUUCGGGGACAGAGUGACAGGUGGUGCAUGGUUGUCGUCAGCUCGUGUCGUGAGAUGUUGGGUUAAGUCCCGCAACGAGCGCAACCCUUGAUCUUAGUUGCCAGCAUUUAGUUGGGCACUCUAAGGUGACUGCCGGUGACAAACCGGAGGAAGGUGGGGAUGACGUCAAAUCAUCAUGCCCCUUAUGACCUGGGCUACACACGUGCUACAAUGGACAGAACAAAGGGCUGCAAGACCGCAAGGUUUAGCCAAUCCCAUAAAUCUGUUCUCAGUUCGGAUCGCAGUCUGCAACUCGACUGCGUGAAGCUGGAAUCGCUAGUAAUCGCGGAUCAGCAUGCCGCGGUGAAUACGUUCCGGGGCCUUGUACACACCGCCCGUCACACCACGAGAGUUUGCGGCACCCGAAGUCGGUGAGGUAACCUUU
RNAcentral lists this ribosomal RNA (1391 nucleotides) under Bacillus sp. D194a. RNAcentral's name for it is "bacterial SSU rRNA". It matches the Rfam family "Bacterial small subunit ribosomal RNA", at positions 66 to 1443 of the family's 1533-position model. Lineage: Bacteria; Bacillati; Bacillota; Bacilli; Caryophanales; Bacillaceae. The record is from RNAcentral.